GCGGAUGUAGAUAAAUUGGUAACAUCAUUAAUUUUCCAAAUUAAAUAUUUUAUGGGUUCGAGUCCCAUGAUCCGCUU
This 77-nucleotide transfer RNA is filed under the name Asparagopsis taxiformis. Its description in RNAcentral is "tRNA-Gly". It matches the Rfam family "tRNA". From Rfam's summary of the family: Transfer RNA (tRNA) molecules are approximately 80 nucleotides in length. Their secondary structure includes four short double-helical elements and three loops (D, anti-codon, and T loops). Further hydrogen bonds mediate the characteristic L-shaped molecular structure. tRNAs have two regions of fundamental functional importance: the anti-codon, which is responsible for specific mRNA codon recognition, and the 3' end, to which the tRNAs corresponding amino acid is attached (by aminoacyl-tRNA synthetases). tRNAs cope with the degeneracy of the genetic code in two manners: having more than one tRNA (with a specific anti-codon) for a particular amino acid; and 'wobble' base-pairing, i.e. permitting non-standard base-pairing at the 3rd anti-codon position. The record is from RNAcentral. Lineage: Eukaryota; Rhodophyta; Florideophyceae; Bonnemaisoniales; Bonnemaisoniaceae.